This 301-nucleotide ribosomal RNA is filed under the name uncultured bacterium. RNAcentral describes it as "partial 16S ribosomal RNA". It matches the Rfam family "Bacterial small subunit ribosomal RNA", at positions 509 to 807 of the family's 1533-position model. The record is from RNAcentral.
CAGUCGCCGCGGGAAUACGUAGGGUGCGAGCGUUAAUCGGAAUUACUGGGCGUAAAGCGUGCGCAGGCGGUUGUGUAAGACAGGUGUGAAAUCCCCGGGCUUAACCUGGGAACUGCGCUUGUGACUGCACAGCUAGAGUAUGGCAGAGGGGGGUGGAAUUCCACGUGUAGCAGUGAAAUGCGUAGAGAUGUGGAGGAACACCGAUGGCGAAGGCAGCCCCCUGGGCCAGUACUGACGCUCAUGCACGAAAGCGUGGGGAGCAAACAGGAUUAGAUACCCCUGUAGUCCCUGUCUCUUAUAC